GAGGGGGCGCUGCAGGGCGGCCGGACGAUGCCCACGUCAGGCCGCGGGCGCGAGAAAGCCUUCAGCCACACUCGCCGAUCCAAGGGAUGGCCAAGGAUCUGCCCCUGCCCAGGCCCACGCCCAGCCUGGGGGAAUCAUUGAGAGGGAAGGCUCGGCUUCCCCCGUCACCUCGUCCACCCUGAGCCACGUCCACCGCGCUGGGGUUGGCCCUCCCGCACACUCUGGUGGUUUCCUGUCUGCGAGCACGGAAGUAAACAAAGACCAUCCAACCAACAAGGACUCUCGCUCAGGAGUGAUGCCAUGGCAGGACGGGGAGAGCUUCAGAGUGGACAGGAGACCAUUUCCGGUGUGCCUGGCAGGAGGCUUCCAGCCUAGGGAUCAGGAGGCAGCUACCUGGACGCGGGACACCCCAUUUAAUUGGCCAGAGGAACAUAUUUGGCUUUUGCUUGGAAAAGAGGAUAAGUUGGAAACAGGUGCGACAUUCCUGUGUAACUCCAAAGGAGACAGUCCCAGGUCGGGGAGCUGAGGCAGCAGGCCUCAGAAGGAGCUGGGAGCGUGCUCAGGAAAGCCCCGGAGACAUGUGAAAGGCAGGCCCUCGAGGAAUCUGGGAGACAGCAGCCAGGCAAGAGAUGGAGGCGGUUGCUGGAGGCUGGAAAAGUCUUCCUUCUCACCUCUCCCCUGCCCUCCUCAGUGUCAGGCCAUCUAUGGGACAAGUCAGGGCCUGGGCACCAUCCGCGUGGCAGGAGGUGGGCCAGGGAAUGCUCGGGGAGCUGCCACAUCCUGAAGUCACACUCCCCAGGCCUGCCCUUCCCUCAGAGCAAGCAGGUGUUAGGAGGCACAUCCGGGCUUUGAGGAGGCAGGCUCCCUGAACUCUGGGCCAGGCGUAUUUCUCUUGGGGUCAGUGUGCUCUGCUCAGUCUUGAGCCUCUUCCUGUGGAGGUCCAGUUUCCAUGAGGGAAAGGAGGUUAAGGGGGAGGUGACAUUACCUGUCUGUUCCUAGAUUCUUCUGUAUGGCAGCAGCUGGGGGUAGGCCUGUUAGUUGCCCCCCAGUGGUUGGGUAGAACCAAAUGGGCAGCUCUUCGGUCAGAACACAAAGUCACUUUAGCUGCAAAGGAUGCCACCCUGGGUUCCAGACUGAAAGCCUCAGGCACCAUAAAAAGCAGAAUUCUUAGUCUCCAUAAUAUAUCUAUCCCUGGGUGUUACUCCCACAACUCUAUUGCUAUAUAUAUAUAUAUAUAUAUAUAUAUAUAUAUAUAUUUACAAUCUGAUUAAGGUCGCUAAUUGGGUUAUUCAUUAUUUGGCUGUGCAGCAGACCAAGUCUUUGGCAGCAGAGGGCAAGUCAAAUUCUAAGAACGAGAAGAAUUUGAUGCACCUAAAGAUGCGGCGGUCAGAGGGGUGGGGGGGAUGUUGCAAGGUGGCCUACGUGGAAAGGCUUUGAGAGUGGCCUCUCCAGCUCCAAGAGACCCUCGGCCAACAGUUAACAAGGACUCCAUUCCAACCACACAGGAACUGGGAUCUGAGAACAACCCAAGUGAACUUGGAAGUGGAUUCUUCCCUAGGGCCUCAGUGGGAGAUCAGACAGGCCAACACCUUGAUUUUGGCCUUGGAACAUCCCAAGCAAAGACCCAGGGGAGCCUGCCCCCAACUUCUAGCCCACAGAACUGGAAGCUCUUCAGUGGGUGAUGUUUUAAGCUGCUAAACUGUAGUAAUUUGUUGUGCAGCAAUUAUACCUAAAACAGAUCCUUGGACAAUGAAGUUUCUACAGCAUGUCUGUUGACACCAAGGGAGGAGGAGUGCAGCGUUUGGAUUUCACCCUCAUCCAGCACCCUGUUCCCCACAGAAGUAGCAGUCUUGUGAAACCCAUCACUGCCAGAGGCAGAAGCUGCUGAUUAGGCUGGAGCCCCAAGUCUGUGCAAACUAGUUAUAGAUAGACCAGUCUCAGGGGAAGAACCCAGUUUCUUAGGCCUAACCAUACAGAUUUCUUAGAUGCUUGCUUCUCUGCGAACGUUCAUAUAUACAUCUUGUUCUGUUUUCUUAUGAGACAGGGUCUUUCUAGGUAGUUCAGGCUGGCCUUGAACUCAACAUGUAGCCAAGGCUGGCCUUGAACUCAUGAUGAUUCUCCUCCCUCAGCUUCCCGAGUAUUGGGAUUACAGGUGUGUACCACCAUGCACCCUGCCUUGUCCUAUAUUUCUGCCCAGUUCUGAUACUGUUGGAUUGGCUAAUCCUCGGCAAUGCAAAAUCUUUUCUAGCCAAAUUAUUUAGGCAGGACUUCCUUUUUAGUAUACGUGCCGCCAAAGCGAGCUCAGGACUUCCUUUUUGAAGACCCAGAUUACUUUCAAAUUAUCCUUAGACUUAGAAUGAAUUGUUCUCUUUUGGUUCCCUGAUUUAAAUGUUUUGAUUUCUUACUGUGGCAGAGAUGCUUAGCUGUCUACCAAAGUUCCUCACCCUUUCGGUAUAGAGUUGUUAUGGAGGACCAAAGACUACAUUUCCCAGCUGCCCUUGCAACUAGAGUGGUCAUGUGACAAAUUCCCAUCGCUAGAAUGUGAGCCAGAGAGAGCACACUACUUCUGAGCCAAGGCUGUAAGAGGGAAGUGUGCCUCCUCCACACUUUUCUUUUUCUUCGGGCAACACAUAAGUGACAGUGAGACCUAAGGGAAAGAGGGAGCUUCCAGAUGAACAGAGCCUGGGUCCUUGAAUCACCAUAUGGAGAAAAGUCACUAGCCAAUUAGGAACAACUGCUUUUUUUCUGUUGUGUGAGAAAAAUAAAUUCUAUUAUAUAUCUGGGGGGUUGUUUAUUAUUGCCUCUUAGCCUGUGCUUCAUACCUCUGCUUCGCCUUCUACCUAAAUCAAGGUGCACAAGAUGCUGAUAAAGCUCCUGGGAUGAAAACCUCCAACUCACCCUGCAUUUCACUUUCCCUGGCCGGCUCCCAUGCCUGUCUUGGUUCACACUGUCUGCUUGCUCUGACGUCUAGCUGACUCAGCCAGCCUGGGCCACCAUCCAUCUGCUGUUGAUGGGCGCCUGGUCCCAGCAAAAUGCACAUUUAUUCUCCCACACAUAGGGUUCUUUUUUCACCAAAGGUAGUGCAGCAGUAAAUUUGGAGAAGCAAGCUGCUGUUCAGCACAUGGCUCGUGGUUACUUUGGGACAAAGCCAAGGAGCUCAUGUCUUCAGCCCCAAUUCUCCAAGCCAGAGCCUCCAGAGGUUGGCAGAGAGGUGCAGAGGGGCAAUGGAGGGGGGAGAAAGCCAGAAGGAGGUGACAAUUCUCUCAGAAAGCAAUUAAGCAUUUCUUGGUGGCCUCAGGGACAACCUCAACUUUUUGUACUUUUCCUCCAGAGAGCACGGGAAGAGAAUAUUGUGGCUGCAGUUCUUGAAAACCCUGCCUCAUACUGUGGCUUUGGGAAGACAGAGAAGCUGACUGCAGGAGCUCCACCUGCACUUCCUGCUCCAGAUGCUCCCUCCAUGGAGACCCCUGGAAUAAACCAGAGUGGGGCCCCAAAUGCCAAGGAACUUCUUGCCAUCACCCAUUUCUGAUGGCUAUUGCCAGCCCCAGCAGGAAGAGGAGAAGCUGGACUGAAGGUGGUAAAGAAGCCCAGAAGAGGCUGCAGUCUCUGCAAAAGCACUGAGAUGCAAAGGCCCCACUCCUCUGAGUAGGUCAGAUGCCCCGGAAGGUUAUAGAAUGGCACGGCCAUCCUUCCAGGGGCUUCAAGAAGACUCUGCCUCAGCAAUUUCCAGAACAAAUGUGCUGUUUGUUUGAGUCAGGAAAUCACAGGCUGCAAAUUCCCCAGGGGCCCAAGAAUCCAGCCCCUGGCUCCUCCUGUCCUUGUGUGAGCAGGACAGUUAGAUGCACACCACAGCACUGAGGUUAAAUUACAACAACCUAACCUGGGCUGGCCCUCAGAUGCCAAGAUCCCCCUCAGAGAGGGUCAGUGGUUAACCAGGUCUCUCCAGGACUCUCACAUAAGUGGCCUGAAUGGGGGCAGCUCUGCUCUGACCCAGGUAGCUCUCACCCUAACCCUGCAGUGGUGGUGAGCUGUGGAGCCAGGGUGGAUGCAUCAUAGGUGUUUCAGCGAAGACAGCCCCUAAUUUCCCAUACCUUCACGGUGUCCCCACCAUUGCCUGGCCAAAGUUCUGCCUACCCAGUCUGAUCCCUUCUCCUCUUUAUCCAGCCUCUUCCUCUUUUUUGUUUGUUUGUUUGUCGAGACUAAGUCUCACCAUGUAAUUCAGGAUGGCCUGAAACUCCUCGGACUCACUAUGUAGCCCAGGCUGGCCUUGAACUUGUGGCAAUCCUCUUGCCUCAGCCUGCCAAGUGUUGGGAUUACAGGUGUGCACCACCUUCCCCAGCCUGUUCCUCUUAUUCUGCCACUUUACCCUAGGACUUUGCUCAUUCAUUCUUUCCAAAUGUCCCCUCUCCCUGUCAAUCUGGGUCCAUUCCAUGCCUGGUUUGUAAGCAUAACUGACCUGAUCCCUAAUUGCAAGCCCCCAGUCUCUCCCAGGAAGCCCAGGUUUGACAAGUGUGACCCCCAGGGUACUGGGUCACCACAGGAAAUGCCAGAGUCCAAAGUCUACCCAGGACUGGCAGCUCAGAUGGUUCCAGGGCAGAAAUAACCUGAGCCUGAUGCCCUUUGAGAAGCUGGCAGAUGGACACACACAUCCAUCUCAGCAGAGGGAAUGAGGGGCAAGACCAAGGCCUUAGGCUGUGCAUGGAGAGGAACAGGGGCUGGCCGUAGGGAUGGGCACUAAGAACAGUCUCGGCCUCACUCAGGGGACAAAAAGCACACAAAGAGUUCUCCAGACCCCAUUUUCCACUGAGGAGCCGGGGCAAACAGAAGGUUGGAUGACACACUCGAUUGGCAAGGGUGGGAGAAGGCACUCUCGGGCUUUGCUAGGACUGUAAGCUGAUCCCAUCUCUAUGGAGGGGGCAGCUCGCCAGUGUCUGCCAAAGGCACAGACUCCUUGACCCAGCAAUUCUACUUCCAGCUAUGGAUACUUAUCUGGGAAAUGGUCCCUUGGUGUUGUUUGUAGCAAUGACUGAAGAUGGGAGGUACCCUUCUUAGGGGACUGGGUCUGUGACAGGAUACAAUGGGCAGAGUAAAGAGUUAAGAGACACUGAAGUAUGACCAUGGAACCAGGUGGUAGAUGAAUUGUAAAGAGGGAAAAUAGCGGGCUGUGCUAUGCGGGCAGCUCCUCGGGAGGCUGAGGAAAGAGGAUUGCAAAUUCAAGGCCAGCCUGGGUAACUUAAUGAGACCCUGUCUCGAAAUAAAGAAGGCUAGGUAUGUAGCUCAGCGGUAGAGCCCUUGCCUAGCAUGCAGGCAGUGGGAGGAAGUGGAGGAGGAAGAGGAGAGAGGAAGAAAAACAGAGUCAAGGGCUGAAAAGGCUGUGGGCUGACUGGCUUCCGGUCUCAAUGCUGCGUAAAAGAGAGACCAUACACACGCUUGUCUGCUCCUGCAUUGCAAGGAAUUUCUCUGAAUGGAUAUCAGAGAAAUGGGUUGCCUUGGUUUUAUAGGAACAACUAUUUUCUUUAUAUAUAUUUUUGUAACUAAAAUUUUGGCCACGGUGGCGGCACACACCAGUAAUCCCAGCACUUGGAAGGUUGAGGCAGGAGGAUUGCCAGUUCAAGGCCAUCCUGGCUUACAUUCAGAAACCUUAUCAUGAAAAAAAAACACUCCCUCCCCAAAAUCUUUUUGAACUGUUGUAAGCAUGUCACCUAUUCAAAAAUUAAAUAAAUAUAAAGUAUGUGAGCCCCAGCUCUGUAAUGGAAAUGAUACAAUCUCAUUGUUUUUUUUGUUUUUUUUAAUGAGCGUUUUGUUUUGUUUUGUUUCUGAGAGUGUGUCUUUUUGUACUGUCCAGGCUGGUUUUGAACUUCUGGCUUCAGGAGAUCCUCUUGCCUCAGCCUCCUUGAAUAGCUGGCACUACAAGUAUGUUCCACCGUACCCAGCUUGCAUCAGUAGUUGAAGUAUUCUAGAGGCCAAGCCAGGAGGAGUUCAAGCCCAGCCUGGACUACAUAGAGAGACCCUGUCUCAACACUCACCCCGCCGAAAAAGGAGGCUUAGAAAAGCAAGAACAUGAUCCAGGCCACAUUAUGGACCAGCUGGCUCAGACACUAAUUGUCAGAAGAUGGCAUUGACUGGGCCAGGGAUUUAGCUCAGUGGUUUCGCCUCCUGAUGUGCAAGUGCAAGGACCUGAGUUCAAUCCCUGGUACCAAAAAAAGAAAAAAAAAAGAUGGCAUUAACUUUCAGUGCUGGGGGACCAAAUCCUGCAUGCUAGGAAAGUGCUCUACCACUGAGCUACGUCUGCAGCCCAAGGUCACCAUUUUGCCUGCCCACCAGCAGUGUAUGUGGGUUUAGGGUGAUUCACAGCUUUGCCAGCGCUUGGUGCUGUCAGUCUUGUUAUUUCAGACUUCACAGCAGGACUUUGACACCAUCCAUCUAGGUAGAACCUCUGGCUAAGCUCCCAGGGAGGAGGAGAAAUGCCAAUUUUACAGAAAACUCAAGAAGAUCCAUUCACCUGCUUCCUGGGAGAACAGAUGGUAUUUUGCCUGAGGAAUAUGAAGAAUGCAAAUUUGCUUUCUCUCACUCAGGAUGGAGUUGGUGCUUAUAAAAAGAUACACAGACUAAUAAAUGCUGCCAGUUUGCAAAGCCAACUUAUCCUAGUUUUUUGACAACAAAAUGGUACAUCCUGCAAGAUGUUACUUCUCCACUUGAAACACAUUUUUCAUCAAGCCAAAUAAGUUGCCACAGAUGCCACACCUCCUUCUUACAUGUGUCUUCCUGCCUCUGCCUCCCAGAGUGCUGGGAUUACAGGCAUGUGCCACCAUGCCUAGUCCUACAAACUUCCUCAAACUGUGGAGUCAGGGUUCAUCUUGAUCUGUGUCAGGUCUGAAUACAGUGCCCUCUGGGUCUCUGCUGAGGCUGUCACGUGACACCAGAGUGAAGAGCAGAGGUGACCAAGGGGGAGUGGUCCUUCAGACCCUGGCUGUAGCUCCUAUUCUGUAUCUGGGAAGACUCCUAGCUCUGGCCUCUUGUGAACCCCAGGAAGGAUGGGACUUCUGAGUUCUCUCUGAGCUUGUCAUGCAGUGCCAAUAUUACACUGUGUACUACAUUAAAGGAGGCCUCUGAGUUUUCUUCUUGUGCAACAGGGUGGUCUACUUGGGGAUAAGAGACCGUGGGCCAUCAGUCCAAGGGGCAAGAGCAGUGGGUACUGCCUGGGACGAAGGGUUGCUCUUUCCAGCUCUACCAUUGCCUUGCUGCUGGACCUGAGCAAAGAACUUGACUUCUGUGAGCCCCUUUGGCUCAUCUGUAACCUGGCAGCUCUGCAGUCUGACCUGCCCAUCUCAUGGGAUUAUUGCAAGAUGCACAUGAUUGAGCAUAGAACAUUUCUGGAAAGAUGCAGCCAGCCCAAACUAUUCAGUGGCUUCUCUGGGAAACAGAAGAAGGAAGAGAGCAGAGAGGAGGUCAUGAGGAUUAACAUUUUCAUUUUCAAUCAAUUGUGAUUUUAUUUCAUUUUUUUAAUACAGGGAUUGAACCCAGGGCUUUACAGUGAGCUGCACUUCCAGCCCUAUUUAUUUAUUAUUUUGAAACACAGUUUCACU
RNAcentral lists this long non-coding RNA (7586 nucleotides) under Heterocephalus glaber (naked mole-rat). RNAcentral's name for it is "lncRNA (ENSHGLG00000033157.1)". Lineage: Eukaryota; Metazoa; Chordata; Mammalia; Rodentia; Bathyergidae. The record is from RNAcentral.